GAAACCACAGAGAAGCCCUCCCUCCCUCCCUCCCUCCUCGACGGGCCAUGGCCAAGCGUCACGCGCACAAGAGGACAAAACUCCGCAACCAUAUAAGCGGCCCCUCCCCUCUCGUCUCCAAAAGUUCGAGCCCCUCAUUUCUCAUACCUACAAGCUCUGCUAGCUAGUUCAUCUAUCGCUAGCUUCCUCAUACCCAUAUCGCUACCAGAUCUUCUUCCAAGACUGGUUAGCAGUCGAAGCUAGCUAGCUAGCUAGGGUUCGUCAUCGAGCGCGAGCGCGCGAUGAUCAUGUCCGACCCGGCCAUGCUGCCGCCGGGCUUCCGGUUCCACCCGACGGACGAGGAGCUCAUCCUACACUACCUCCGCAACCGCGCCGCCGAAUCGCCCUGCCCCGUCUCCAUCAUCGCCGACGUAGAUAUCUACAAGUUCGACCCAUGGGCCCUGCCAUCCAAGGCUAGCUACGGGGACAGGGAGUGGUACUUCUUCACGCCGAGGGACCGUAAGUACCCCAACGGUGUCCGGCCGAACCGCGCCGCGGGUUCCGGCUACUGGAAGGCCACCGGCACCGACAAGCCCAUCCGCUGCAGCGCCACCGGCGAGAGCGUCGGCGUCAAGAAGGCCCUCGUCUUCUACAAGGGCCGCCCGCCCAAGGGCAUCAAAACCAACUGGAUCAUGCACGAGUACCGCCUCGCUGCCGCCGACGCACACGCCGCCAACACCUACCGCCCCAUGAAGUUCCGCAACGCCUCCAUGAGGCUGGAUGACUGGGUGCUGUGCCGGAUCUACAAGAAGACCAGCCAAGUGUCGCCGAUGGCGGUGCCGCCGCUGUCCGACCACGAGCUUGACGAGCCUUCUGGCGCUGACGCCUACCCCGUGUCGAGCGCCGGCAUGAUCAUGCAAGGCGGCGCCAGCGGCUACCCGCUGCAGGCCGCGGCCGUCGGCACACAGAGGAUGCCCAAGAUCCCGUCCAUAUCAGAGUUGCUCAACGAGUACUCGCUGGCGCAGCUCUUCGAGGACAGCGGACACGCGCUGAUGGCGCGGCACGAUCAGCACGCCGCCCUCCUCGGUCACCCCAUCAUGAGCCAAUUCCAUGUGAACAGCAUGCCGCAGCUUGGGCAGAUGGAUUCGUCAGCCUCAACGUCGGUGGCAGGCGAGGGUGCCGCCGGGAAGCGCAAGAGGCCGUCGGAGGACGGUGACCGUAACGGGUCGACGAGCCAGCCAGCGGCGGCGGUGACGGGCAAGAAGCCCAACAGUUCUUGCUUGGGUGCAACAACGUUCCAAACAGGCAACAACACCUUGCAGGGGACGUUGCUCCGUUUCUAACAUGGGGAUCGGAUGAACUGACGGUGGAUACACACUAUACUACUUCAACCCCAUCAGUCUGAAUUAUAUACGACUGGCGAACUGGUGAUUUGAAGAACAAUUAUUGGGGUCUAUUUCGCAAGAUAGGUCUAAAUUAGACAAAUUAUUGGUCAAUAUAUAGGGAAAGGGAUUGUACUGCAGGUGUGUGUGUGUGUGUGUGUGUGUGUGUGUGUGUGUGUGUGUGUCGAACGACUAGCUAGGUCCAUGGAUCAUACUAGUAGAUAUGGUUUGUAGUGUGUACACAAUAUUUUUGUCUCCAAGGCAUGCAGUACAAUCAUGUACUUGAAGCUUACGACCGUGCUAAGAAGGGCUUGAUCAGACUGAGAUCGACAAACUGAAAGUCUGGAACAUAAGAUGUAAAACAGCGAAAUAUAUUCUUUAAUGGAACCAUUAAUUC
This 1758-nucleotide ribosomal RNA is filed under the name Triticum aestivum (bread wheat). RNAcentral's name for it is "partial small subunit ribosomal RNA". The record is from RNAcentral. Lineage: Eukaryota; Viridiplantae; Streptophyta; Magnoliopsida; Poales; Poaceae.